This 497-nucleotide ribosomal RNA is filed under the name uncultured bacterium. RNAcentral's name for it is "partial 16S ribosomal RNA". It matches the Rfam family "Bacterial small subunit ribosomal RNA", at positions 28 to 507 of the family's 1533-position model. The record is from RNAcentral.
GAUGAACGCUGGCGGCGUGCCUAAUACAUGCAAGUCGAGCGAACAGACGAGGAGCUUGCUCCUCUGACGUUAGCGGCGGACGGGUGAGUAACACGUGGAUAACCUACCUAUAAGACUGGGAUAACUUCGGGAAACCGGAGCUAAUACCGGAUAAUAUAUUGAACCGCAUGGUUCAAUAGUGAAAGACGGUUUUGCUGUCACUUAUAGAUGGAUCCGCGCCGUAUUAGCUAGUUGGUAAGGUAACGGCUUACCAAGGCAACGAUGCGUAGCCGACCUGAGAGGGUGAUCGGCCACACUGGAACUGAGACACGGUCCAGACUCCUACGGGAGGCAGCAGUAGGGAAUCUUCCGCAAUGGGCGAAAGCCUGACGGAGCAACGCCGCGUGAGUGAUGAAGGUCUUCGGAUCGUAAAACACUGUUAUUAGGGAAGAACAAAUGUGUAAGUAACUAUGCACGUCUUGACGGUACCUAAUCAGAAAGCCACGGCUAACUACGUG